RNAcentral lists this ribosomal RNA (453 nucleotides) under Salmonella enterica subsp. enterica serovar Strathcona. RNAcentral describes it as "partial 23S ribosomal RNA". It matches the Rfam family "Bacterial large subunit ribosomal RNA", at positions 174 to 668 of the family's 2925-position model. The record is from RNAcentral. Lineage: Bacteria; Pseudomonadati; Pseudomonadota; Gammaproteobacteria; Enterobacterales; Enterobacteriaceae.
AUGAGGCGAACCGGGGGAACUGAAACAUCUAAGUACCCCGAGGAAAAGAAAUCAACCGAGAUUCCCCCAGUAGCGGCGAGCGAACGGGGAGGAGCCCAGAGCCUGAAUCAGCAUGUGUGUUAGUGGAAGCGUCUGGAAAGGCGCGCGAUACAGGGUGACAGCCCCGUACACAAAAGCGCAUGUGCUGUGAGCUCGAUGAGUAGGGCGGGACACGUGGUAUCCUGUCUGAAUAUGGGGGGACCAUCCUCCAAGGCUAAAUACUCCUGACUGACCGAUAGUGAACCAGUACCGUGAGGGAAAGGCGAAAAGAACCCCGGCGAGGGGAGUGAAAAAGAACCUGAAACCGUGUACGUACAAGCAGUGGGAGCACCCUUUGGGGUGUGACUGCGUACCUUUUGUAUAAUGGGUCAGCGACUUAUAUUCUGUAGCAAGGUUAACCGAAUAGGGGAGCCG